RNAcentral lists this ribosomal RNA (451 nucleotides) under uncultured Fibrobacter sp. RNAcentral describes it as "bacterial SSU rRNA". It matches the Rfam family "Bacterial small subunit ribosomal RNA", at positions 341 to 792 of the family's 1533-position model. Lineage: Bacteria; Pseudomonadati; Fibrobacterota; Fibrobacteria; Fibrobacterales; Fibrobacteraceae. The record is from RNAcentral.
ACGGAAGGCAGCAGUAGGGAAUAUUGCACAAUGGGGGAAACCCUGAUGCAGCAACGCCACGUGUGGGAAGAAGCAUUUCAGUGUGUAAACCACUGUCGUGAAGGAAUAAUGCUGGACCUCGGUCCAGCUGAAUGUACUUUGAAAGGAAGCACCGGCAAACUUCGUGCCAGCAGCCGCGGUAAUACGAGGGGUGCAAGCGUUGUUCGGAAUCACUGGGCGUAAAGGGAGCGUAGGCGGAGACGCAAGCAGUCUGUACAAUACCGGGGCCCAACCCCGGACCUGCAGACUGGACUGUGUCUCUUGGAUAGUUCAGGGGCAGGCGGAAUUCCUGGUGUAGCGGUGGAAUGCGUAGAGAUCAGGAAGAACACCGAUGGCGAAGGCAGCCUGCUGGGGACUCAUCGACGCUGAGGCUCGAAGGUGCGGGUAGCAAACAGGAUUAGAUACCCUGGUA